ACAGGGACUAAGGGUUGGUACUCCUCAAAUGAGAAAGAAUGGAGCCUAUUCUGAUGUAAUAAUAGUUAGAACGUUUGAAUUAGGUCAGAGGGGAGCUUGCCUGGGCCACCUCCUUCAUAUUUAGGGACUGGAAAGAACCUGUCUGCUGCUGUUGUCCCUGCUUCAGGUGGUGGGUGAAAGAAAGAGAAAAUAUUGAAUGAUGAAUUCCAGAGAAGCAAAGAACACCCAAAAAGAAUGGUGAUUUUAAAAGCCAUGUUACCUGUAUUGCAAGGAACAUUUAACUAUUCAAAAAUAUCCAGCUACUGGAUAAUAUUGCCUGGCCAUCAGAAAGAUUUUGAACACUCCUUGACUUCUGCUACUAUAGUCAGCAGGCAUGGGAACUCUGAGCGUAUAUACAAGGUUAUUUAUACAAGUGUCUACAACUAAAGUUUGGAUGUGUCUAAGAGAAGAGCUAGUGUUUGUCUUGCAUUCAUAUCCACUGUUAGAGCCAGUGUUCAUCUAGUAUUCACUACCAUUGUCAGAGCCAGUGUUUGUCCAGCAUUGGUGUCCUUAGUUAAGCUACC
RNAcentral lists this long non-coding RNA (563 nucleotides) under Cricetulus griseus (Chinese hamster). RNAcentral's name for it is "lncRNA (ENSCGRG00015039719.1)". The record is from RNAcentral. Lineage: Eukaryota; Metazoa; Chordata; Mammalia; Rodentia; Cricetidae.